RNAcentral lists this ribosomal RNA (157 nucleotides) under Yuccamyces citri. RNAcentral's name for it is "5.8S ribosomal RNA". It matches the Rfam family "5.8S ribosomal RNA". From Rfam's summary of the family: 5.8S ribosomal RNA (5.8S rRNA) is a component of the large subunit of the eukaryotic ribosome. The record is from RNAcentral. Lineage: Eukaryota; Fungi; Ascomycota; Dothideomycetes; Patellariales.
AAACUUUCAACAAUGGAUCUCUUGGUUCUGGCAUCGAUGAAGAACGCAGCGAAAUGCGAUAAGUAAUGUGAAUUGCAGAAUUCAGUGAAUCAUCGAAUCUUUGAACGCACAUUGCGCCCCCUGGUAUUCCGGGGGGCAUGCCUGUCCGAGCGUCAUU